This 265-nucleotide signal recognition particle RNA is filed under the name Clostridium tepidiprofundi DSM 19306. RNAcentral describes it as "Bacterial large signal recognition particle RNA". It matches the Rfam family "Bacterial large signal recognition particle RNA". From Rfam's summary of the family: The signal recognition particle (SRP) is a universally conserved ribonucleoprotein involved in the co-translational targeting of proteins to membranes. Archaeal SRP consists of a 7S RNA and homologues of the eukaryotic SRP19 and SRP54 proteins. In most bacteria, the SRP consists of a 4.5S RNA and the Ffh protein (a homologue of the eukaryotic SRP54 protein). The record is from Rfam by way of RNAcentral. Lineage: Bacteria; Bacillati; Bacillota; Clostridia; Eubacteriales; Clostridiaceae.
CCGUACUAGUUGGGGAGUUAGCGGUGCCCUGUAACCUGCAAUCCGCUAUAGCAGGAAUGAAGUCCCUCUUGAGGCUCUGAUUUGUAUGGUCUGACCUACAUAAGUGGCGUUGAGAACUGGGUCCCACGCAACAGAGAUUUGUGAACCUCGUCAGGUCCGGAAGGAAGCAGCGAUAAGCAAACACCUCUGUGUGCCGUGGAUUAACCUGGUUUGAGUUAACUGUGUGGGUAACGCAUAUGGAUCAUUGUCAAGGGAGGGUGUACGG